GAUGAACGCUGGCGGCGUGCCUAAUACAUGCAAGUCGAGCGAACGGACGAGAAGCUUGCUUCUCUGAUGUUAGCGGCGGACGGGUGAGUAACACGUGGAUAACCUACCUAUAAGACUGGGAUAACUUCGGGAAACCGUAGCUGAUACCGGAUAAUCUUUUGAACCGCAUGGUUCAAAAGUGAAAGACGGUCUUGCUGUCACUUAUAGAUGGAUCCGCGCUGCAUUAGCUAGUUGGUAAGGUAACGGCUUACCAAGGCAACGAUGCAUAGCCGACCUGAGAGGGUGAUCGGCGACACUGGAACUGAGACACGGUCCAGACUCCUACGGGAGGCAGCAGUAGGGAAUCUUCCGCAAUGGGCGAAAGCCUGACGGAGCAACGCCGCGUGAGUGAUGAAGGUCUUCGGAUCGUAAAACUCUGUUAUUAGGGAAGAACAUAUGUGUAAGUAACUGUGCACAUCUUGACGGUACCUAAUCAGAAAGCCACGGCUAACUACGUG
Molecule: ribosomal RNA, 497 nt
Filed under: uncultured bacterium
Lineage: Bacteria
Description: partial 16S ribosomal RNA
Rfam family: Bacterial small subunit ribosomal RNA
Source: RNAcentral